UACGUAGGGGGCAAGCGUUGUCCGGAUUUAUUGGGCGUAAAGAGCGUGUAGGCGGCCCGAUAAGUCCGCUGUGAAAGUCCAGGGCUCAACCCUGGAAUGCCGGUGGAUACUGUCGGGCUCGAAUCCGGAAGAGGUGAGUGGAAUUCCUGGUGUAGCGGUGAAAUGCGCAGAUAUCAGGAGGAACACCAAUUGCGAAGGCAGCUCGCUGGGACGUUACUGACGCUGAGACGCGAAAGCGUGGGGAGCAAACAGG
Molecule: ribosomal RNA, 253 nt
Filed under: uncultured bacterium
Lineage: Bacteria
Description: partial 16S ribosomal RNA
Rfam family: Bacterial small subunit ribosomal RNA
Source: RNAcentral